RNAcentral lists this long non-coding RNA (450 nucleotides) under Bos indicus x Bos taurus (hybrid cattle). RNAcentral describes it as "lncRNA (ENSBIXG00000012367.1)". The record is from RNAcentral. Lineage: Eukaryota; Metazoa; Chordata; Mammalia; Artiodactyla; Bovidae.
AUGCCCUGGCACAUGAGGACCCAGAAGCUACAGGAAAGGUGCCUGAGGAAGCAGCAGGCUGGGUGGGGACCCCCAUGGAACUGGAUCGAAGACUGGAGGCUGUGUGACCAGAACCUGCUCAAGGAAGAUGUCAGGAGCAUCUCUGAGUUAGCCUCCAGGGCAACAAAUUAUACUCAGCCCACCUACUCAGGACACACUGACCUGGCUGGUGCGGAGAAGUUCUGCCCCUUGCCCCUGCACCCAAGGAUGGAUAUAAAGACAGGUAGAUUCUUUACCAUCAAGCCACCUGGGAAGCCCCUGCUUGCUACACUACCAUCUAAAUGGAAUGACUUUCUUCCCUGUAGCCCAGAAAAUAAGCCUUCCUUCUCUCAUUCUGUGGUGGAGAGAUUGGGCUAAAAGGUAUUCUUUCAGUUGUCAUUUCUAAAUAAAUGUCAUGCACUCAGCUCUCCA